GAGUUUGAUCGUGGCUCAGAUUGAACGCUGGCGGUAUGCUUAACACAUGCAAGUCGAACGGUAACAGGAGAGAGCUUGCUCUUUUGCUGACGAGUGGCGGACGGGUGAGUAAUGCGUAGGAAUCUGCCUAGUAGUGGGGGACAACGUGUGGAAACGCACGCUAAUACCGCAUACGCCCUACGGGGGAAAGCGGGGAUCUUCGGACCUCGCGCUAUUAGAUGAGCCUACGUUAGAUUAGCUAGUUGGUGGGGUAAAGGCCUACCAAGGCGACGAUCUAUAGCUGGUCUGAGAGGAUGAUCAGCCACACUGGGACUGAGACACGGCCCAGACUCCUACGGGAGGCAGCAGUGGGGAAUAUUGGACAAUGGGCGAAAGCCUGAUCCAGCAAUACCGCGUGUGUGAAGAAGGCCUGAGGGUUGUAAAGCACUUUCAAUUGUGAAGAAAUAUUUAAGGUUAAUAACCUUAAAUUUGUACGUUAACUUUAGUAAGAAGCACCGGCCUAACUCCGUGCCAGCCGCCGCCGUAA
This 526-nucleotide ribosomal RNA is filed under the name uncultured microorganism. Its description in RNAcentral is "bacterial SSU rRNA". It matches the Rfam family "Bacterial small subunit ribosomal RNA", at positions 9 to 523 of the family's 1533-position model. The record is from RNAcentral.